Molecule: ribosomal RNA, 492 nt
Filed under: uncultured bacterium
Lineage: Bacteria
Description: partial 16S ribosomal RNA
Rfam family: Bacterial small subunit ribosomal RNA
Source: RNAcentral
AGUGAACGCUGGCGGUAGGCCUAACACAUGCAAGUCGAACGGCAGCACAGUAAGAGCUUGCUCUUACGGGUGGCGAGUGGCGGACGGGUGAGGAAUACAUCGGAAUCUACUUUUUCGUGGGGGAUAACGUAGGGAAACUUACGCUAAUACCGCAUACGACCUACGGGUGAAAGCAGGGGAUCUUGGGACCUUGCGCGAUUCAAUGAGCCGAUGUCGGAUUAGCUAGUUGGCGGGGUAAAGGCCCACCAAGGCGACGAUCCGUAGCUGGUCUGAGAGGAUGAUCAGCCACACUGGAACUGAGACACGGUCCAGACUCCUACGGGAGGCAGCAGUGGGGAAUAUUGGACAAUGGGCGCAAGCCUGAUCCAGCCAUACCGCGUGGGUGAAGAAGGCCUUCGGGUUGUAAAGCCCUUUUGUUGGGAAAGAAAAGCAGCAGGUUAAUACCCCGCUGUUCUGACGGUACCCAAAGAAUAAGCACCGGCUAACUUCGUG